This 276-nucleotide ribosomal RNA is filed under the name uncultured bacterium. RNAcentral describes it as "partial 16S ribosomal RNA". It matches the Rfam family "Bacterial small subunit ribosomal RNA", at positions 82 to 354 of the family's 1533-position model. The record is from RNAcentral.
CCGUUGCCGGCGACCGGCGCACGGGUGAGUAACACGUAUGCAACCUGCCCGUGGCAGGGGGAUAAGCGGGGGAAACCCCGUCUAAUACCGCGUAACGCGGCCUAGGGACAUCCCAAGGCCGCCAAAGGGAGCAAUCCCGGCCACGGAUGGGCGUGCGGCGCAUUAGCUAGUCGGCGGGGUAACGGCCCACCGAGGCGACGAUGCGUAGGGGUUCUGAGAGGAAGGCCCCCCACACUGGUACUGAGACACGGACCAGACUCCUACGGAAGGCAGCAG